GCCAGUGUGGUGCAGUUGUUUGAGUGUUGGAUUAUAACUCUGGAAUCCAGGGUUCAAAUCCCUGCUUGGCC
Non-coding RNA from Phrynosoma platyrhinos (Desert horned lizard), 71 nucleotides. Lineage: Eukaryota; Metazoa; Chordata; Lepidosauria; Squamata; Phrynosomatidae. The record is from the annotation of a GenBank genome assembly.